RNAcentral lists this ribosomal RNA (1343 nucleotides) under uncultured bacterium. Its description in RNAcentral is "16S ribosomal RNA". It matches the Rfam family "Bacterial small subunit ribosomal RNA", at positions 28 to 1378 of the family's 1533-position model. The record is from RNAcentral.
GACGAACGCUGGCGGCGUGCUUAACACAUGCAAGUCGAACGGAAAGGCCCUGCUUUUGUGGGGUGCUCGAGUGGCGAACGGGUGAGUAACACGUGAGUAACCUGCCCUUGACUUUGGGAUAACUUCAGGAAACUGGGGCUAAUACCGGAUAGGAGCUCCUGCUGCAUGGUGGGGGUUGGAAAGUUUCGGCGGUUGGGGAUGGACUCGCGGCUUAUCAGCUUGUUGGUGGGGUAGUGGCUUACCAAGGCUUUGACGGGUAGCCGGCCUGAGAGGGUGACCGGCCACAUUGGGACUGAGAUACGGCCCAGACUCCUACGGGAGGCAGCAGUGGGGAAUAUUGCACAAUGGGCGGAAGCCUGAUGCAGCAACGCCGCGUGCGGGAUGACUGCCUUCGGGUUGUAAACCGCUUCCGCCUGUGACGAAGCGUGAGUGACGGUAAUGGGUAAAGAAGCACCGGCUAACUACGUGCCAGCAGCCGCGGUGAUACGUAGGGUGCGAGCGUUGUCCGGAUUUAUUGGGCGUAAAGGGCUCGUAGGUGGUUGAUCGCGUCGGAAGUGUAAUCUUGGGGCUUAACCCUGAGCGUGCUUUCGAUACGGGUUGACUUGAGGAAGGUAGGGGAGAAUGGAAUUCCUGGUGGAGCGGUGGAAUGCGCAGAUAUCAGGAGGAACACCAGUGGCGAAGGCGGUUCUCUGGGCCUUUCCUGACGCUGAGGAGCGAAAGCGUGGGGAGCGAACAGGCUUAGAUACCCUGGUAGUCCACGCUGUAAACGGUGGGUACUAGGUGUGGGGUCCAUUCCACGGGUUCCGUGCCGUAGCUAACGCUUUAAGUACCCCGCCUGGGGAGUACGGCCGCAAGGCUAAAACUCAAAGGAAUUGACGGGGCCCCGCACAAGCGGCGGAGCAUGCGGAUUAAUUCGAUGCAACGCGUAGAACCUUACCUGGGUUUGACAUGGAUCGGGAGUGCUCAGAGAUGGGUGUGCCUCUUUUGGGGUCGGUUCACAGGUGGUGCAUGCCUGUCGUCAGCUCGUGUCGUGAGAUGUUGGGUUAAGUCCCGCAACGAGCGCAACCCUUGUUCACUGUUGCCAGCACGUUAUGGUGGGGACUCAGUGGAGACCGCCGGGGUCAACUCGGAGGAAGGUGGGGAUGACGUCAAGUCCUCAUGCCCCUUAUGUCCAGGGCUUCACGCAUGCUACAAUGGCUGGUACAGAGAGUGGCGAGCCUGUGAGGGUGAGCGAAUCUCGGAAAGCCGGUCUCAGUUCGGAUUGGGGUCUGCAACUCGACCUCAUGAAGUCGGAGUCGCUAGUAAUCGCAGAUCAGCAACGCUGCGGUGAAUACGUUCCCGGG